RNAcentral lists this unclassified non-coding RNA (329 nucleotides) under soil metagenome. RNAcentral describes it as "partial contains 5.8S ribosomal RNA, internal transcribed spacer 2, and large subunit ribosomal RNA". The stretch from base 1 to 120 matches the Rfam family "5.8S ribosomal RNA", at positions 35 to 154 of the family's 154-position model. The record is from RNAcentral.
GAUGAAGAACGUAGCGAAAUGCGAUACGUAAUGUGAAUUGCAGAAUUCAGUGAAUCAUCGAGUCUUUGAACGCACAUUGCGCCCCUUGGUAUCCCGAGGGGCAUGCCUGUUCGAGCGUCAUUUCACCACUCAAGCCUGGCUUGGUGUUGGGCGACGUCCUCUUUGGGGACGCGCCUCGAAACGCUCGGCGGCGUGGCACCGGCUUUAAGCGUAGCAGAAUCUUUCGCUUUGGAAGUCGGGGCCCCGUCUGCCGGAAGACCUGCUCGCAAGGUUGACCUCGGAUCAGGCAGGGAUACCCGCUGAACUUAAGAAUAUCAAUAAGCGGAGGA